AACGAACGCUGGCGGCAUGCCUAACACAUGCAAGUCGAACGAGACCUUCGGGUCUAGUGGCGCACGGGUGCGUAACGCGUGGGAACCUGCCCUUAGGUUCGGAAUAACUCCCCGAAAGGGGUGCUAAUACCGGAUAAUGUCUUCGGACCAAAGAUUUAUCGCCUUUGGAUGGGCCCGCGUUGGAUUAGCUAGUUGGUAGGGUAAAAGCCUACCAAGGCGACGAUCCAUAGCUGGUCUGAGAGGAUGAUCAGCCACACUGGGACUGAGACACGGCCCAGACUCCUACGGGAGGCAGCAGUGGGGAAUAUUGGACAAUGGGCGAAAGCCUGAUCCAGCAAUGCCUCGUGAGUGAUGAAGGCCUUAGGGUUGUAAAGCUCUUUUACCCGGGAUGAUAAUGACAGUACCGGGAGAAUAAGCUCCGGCUAACUCCGUG
This 433-nucleotide ribosomal RNA is filed under the name uncultured bacterium. RNAcentral's name for it is "partial 16S ribosomal RNA". It matches the Rfam family "Bacterial small subunit ribosomal RNA", at positions 29 to 507 of the family's 1533-position model. The record is from RNAcentral.